CCCUUAGAUGUUCUGGGCCGCACGCGUGCUACACUGAGUGGAUCAGCGGGUCAGGUUGCGCGAAAGCGAUUCCUAAUCUUUAAAUCCGCUCGUGAUGGGGAUUGACGGUUGCAAUUUUCUGUCAUGAACGAGGAAUACCUUGUAAGCGCGGGUCAUCAUCCCGCGCUGAAUACGUCCCUGCCCUUUGUACACACCGCCCGUCGCUCCUACCGAUUGAGUGGUCCGGUGAGGCUUUGGGAUCUGAGCGGAAAGAGCGUUUCGCUGUUUCUGCUCGGAAAACUCAGUCGAACCUUAUCAUUUAGAGGAAGGAGAAGUCGUAACA
This 322-nucleotide ribosomal RNA is filed under the name uncultured eukaryote. Its description in RNAcentral is "partial 18S ribosomal RNA". It matches the Rfam family "Eukaryotic small subunit ribosomal RNA", at positions 1470 to 1796 of the family's 1831-position model. The record is from RNAcentral.